AAAAGGAUAUGAAUGCUCUCCUGGGUAAAAUUAACCUCCUUUGCAUUUCAUUCUCACAUUCUCGCACAAAAUGAAUUAUCAAGAUGGAUUUUAUAAUAGCUGAUUCUCUAAAGAAUCUCUGAGACUUUGUAUGAUUCUUUAGUAUAGCAGUGGCUUUCGAUGUGCCAAGUCUACCUCCUCCCAUACUGGGACACUCAAGCAACGCAGAUGUACACGGGAAUUUUGGGUAUUCUAUACUGAGAAUACUGCACACAUAUCAUUAGUCAUCUUAAUGUUGUAACUUACCAAACUCUUAAGGUUUGCAAAUGUGAUUUUGUUGGCAUCUAGAACCAGUGUAUUUUUUAUUUAUGUCUGAAAAAUAAUCAUUGUGGGGUUUUAAAAUGAAAAAUCAUGUAGAUAAUGCCUAUCCAUAGAUGAAAUUGUUAUGUUGGGAAAAUGUGUACUUAAUCUUUGCUUUAGUAAAAUGAUUAUUAUAAAAAUG
Molecule: long non-coding RNA, 481 nt
Filed under: Pan troglodytes (chimpanzee)
Lineage: Eukaryota; Metazoa; Chordata; Mammalia; Primates; Hominidae
Description: lincRNA
Source: RNAcentral